RNAcentral lists this non-coding RNA (25 nucleotides) under Cricetulus griseus (Chinese hamster). The record is from RNAcentral. Lineage: Eukaryota; Metazoa; Chordata; Mammalia; Rodentia; Cricetidae.
UCAUUAUUGGUACAAGCAGAGGUAG